UGGACUGUCCCUCCUGGAGGCAUUAUCUUCUCUGGCCACUGAAAUUUGAGUUGUCUUGUUGCUGAUACCUUCAAUUACAGCUGAUGGCAUUCCUACCCAAGCGCACAUGCCAGGUACAGUCGAUGCUCACGCUGGCAUUUCAAUUGGAAAAUGCUGACUGGCUCAUAGUAGAUGCUCAGUAAGUGUGCCCAGAGCGUUGACAGGAUCAGAGGCCCACCCAGCUAUUCCUGAGCCCACACUCACUCCCAUCGUGGCUCCCAGACCCACAGAGCUGGUAGAGGUAACCAACCCAGGACUCCAGGGCCGCCCGAGCAAAGAGACGGAAAAGGCAUCAAAACAUCAAAGCACUGCUGAGCCGAACAGUCCAGAACCGAGCAGGGGUGCGUUGCUUUAACAUCCUCUGGUCUAAGACGAAGAUCAUCACAUCCAGG
Dama dama (fallow deer) is the source of this 431-nucleotide long non-coding RNA. RefSeq lists it as uncharacterized. The transcript is spliced from 3 exons. NCBI's taxonomy places the organism in Eukaryota, Metazoa, Chordata, Mammalia, Artiodactyla, Cervidae. The record is from RefSeq and is a predicted model, not a curated record.